AUGCACUCAAUUUUUCUAAGAAUUGUAUGUGCAAGCACAACCCCCAUGUUUCGCUACGAAGAAAGUGCUAGAUGCCCUGUCCACCAAAACAACGAACCCAAAACACCUGACUGCACGCCACGACAACAUCGAAAUGUUGCCACCCAAUGUCAGGGAGGCGUUGCAAUGGGAGAAAGAAUACCCUUGAACCCAUUUACCUCAGUUGCUUCUUACUUUUUGCUGCACCUCUUCGAACGCAAAUCAGCAACGACCUGCAGUCAUGGUAUUUCAUUCAGGUCUGUAGCAUUUAGAUCAUUGUCGUGUCUUGGUAACCAUCAUGAUGUACAGCCCCGGAGAUGUCAGCCAACAACACCAGCGUCCAUUGGAAACCUGCUAUUCCUGAUCCUUCUUCCUUGGACUUCAGUUUGGAAUAUUGAGGGUCUAACCAAUCAGAAGCAUUUUAACUCAUCUCAUCAAUCAGCUUAUGUUCUAGCUCAGAGCGCCCAACCUUUUCAUGUCACUGAUCAGUGGACAUACGGUAGGUAUAUA
Molecule: ribosomal RNA, 528 nt
Filed under: Triticum aestivum (bread wheat)
Lineage: Eukaryota; Viridiplantae; Streptophyta; Magnoliopsida; Poales; Poaceae
Description: partial small subunit ribosomal RNA
Source: RNAcentral